AUCACCUGGGGAUCUUGUUAAAAUGCAGAUUCUGAUUCAGUAACCUGGAGUGUGGCCUGAGAUCUGCAUUUCUACAAGCUCCCAGGGGAUGCCCA
This 95-nucleotide microRNA precursor is filed under the name Equus caballus (horse). RNAcentral's name for it is "mir-544 microRNA precursor family". It matches the Rfam family "mir-544 microRNA precursor family". Lineage: Eukaryota; Metazoa; Chordata; Mammalia; Perissodactyla; Equidae. The record is from Rfam by way of RNAcentral.